UAGGGAAUCUUCCGCAAUGGGCGAAAGCCUGACGGAGCAACGCCGCGUGAGUGAUGAAGGUCUUCGGAUCGUAAAACUCUGUUAUUAGGGAAGAACAAAUGUGUAAGUAACUAUGCACGUCUUGACGGUACCUAAUCAGAAAGCCACGGCUAACUACGUGCCAGCAGCCGCGGUAAUACGUAGGUGGCAAGCGUUAUCCGGAAUUAUUGGGCGUAAAGCGCGCGUAGGCGGUUUUUAAGGCUGAUGUGAAAGCCCACGGCUCAACCGUGGAGGGUCAUUGGAAACUGGAAAACUUGAGUGCAGAAGAAGAAAGUGGAAUUCCAUGUGUAGCGGUGAAAUGCGCAGAGAUAUGGAGGAACACCAGUGGCGAAGGCGACUUUCUGGUCUGUAACUGACGCUGAUGUGCGAAAGCGUGGGGAUCAAACAGG
This 428-nucleotide ribosomal RNA is filed under the name Actinomycetes bacterium. Its description in RNAcentral is "Actinobacteria bacterium partial 16S ribosomal RNA". It matches the Rfam family "Bacterial small subunit ribosomal RNA", at positions 355 to 776 of the family's 1533-position model. The record is from RNAcentral. Lineage: Bacteria; Bacillati; Actinomycetota; Actinomycetes.